This 773-nucleotide ribosomal RNA is filed under the name Bacillus sp. (in: firmicutes). RNAcentral describes it as "bacterial SSU rRNA". It matches the Rfam family "Bacterial small subunit ribosomal RNA", at positions 170 to 926 of the family's 1533-position model. The record is from RNAcentral. Lineage: Bacteria; Bacillati; Bacillota; Bacilli; Caryophanales; Bacillaceae.
CGGAUGGUUGUUUGAACCGCAUGGUUCAGACAUAAAAGGUGGCUUCGGCUACCACUUACAGAUGGACCCGCGGCGCAUUAGCUAGUUGGUGAGGUAACGGCUCACCAAGGCGACGAUGCGUAGCCGACCUGAGAGGGUGAUCGGCCACACUGGGACUGAGACACGGCCCAGACUCCUACGGGAGGCAGCAGUAGGGAAUCUUCCGCAAUGGACGAAAGUCUGACGGAGCAACGCCGCGUGAGUGAUGAAGGUUUUCGGAUCGUAAAGCUCUGUUGUUAGGGAAGAACAAGUGCCGUUCAAAUAGGGCGGCACCUUGACGGUACCUAACCAGAAAGCCACGGCUAACUACGUGCCAGCAGCCGCGGUAAUACGUAGGUGGCAAGCGUUGUCCGGAAUUAUUGGGCGUAAAGGGCUCGCAGGCGGUUUCUUAAGUCUGAUGUGAAAGCCCCCGGCUCAACCGGGGAGGGUCAUUGGAAACUGGGGAACUUGAGUGCAGAAGAGGAGAGUGGAAUUCCACGUGUAGCGGUGAAAUGCGUAGAGAUGUGGAGGAACACCAGUGGCGAAGGCGACUCUCUGGUCUGUAACUGACGCUGAGGAGCGAAAGCGUGGGGAGCGAACAGGAUUAGAUACCCUGGUAGUCCACGCCGUAAACGAUGAGUGCUAAGUGUUAGGGGGUUUCCGCCCCUUAGUGCUGCAGCUAACGCAUUAAGCACUCCGCCUGGGGGAGUACGGUCGCAAGACUGAAACUCAAAGGAAUUGACGGGGGCCCGCAC